Molecule: long non-coding RNA, 741 nt
Filed under: Coffea arabica (coffee)
Lineage: Eukaryota; Viridiplantae; Streptophyta; Magnoliopsida; Gentianales; Rubiaceae
Description: long non-coding RNA (CARA_LNC007313)
Source: RNAcentral
AGGGUGUAGCUUUCAAGAACUUUCAUUGAUCAAAAUAAUGUCAUUGAAGGGGCAACUAAUCCAUCUUGUUUAUGCAAGGCAAGGCUAGAGAGUUUCACAAAUUUUAUGUCCAUCACACGUGCAUUAAUAAUUAUCCUGUGCACUGACAAUGUAAACUAUCAUUACUUGACGCAUUAAUAAUUAUCAUGUGCACUGACAAUAUACACUAUCAUCACUUGAUGUAUAAUAUAUAUCUAAAAUUUAAAUUUUAAAUUCAAAUUUACAUUAAUUAUCAUUAUUCUUUUUUUUUUCCAAACGAUAGAAACUUUCAUUACUUCAUCAAAGGAUUACAAGUCUGGAGCAAAGGCUCCUACAUCAUUUUUGGCUAUACUACUCAGCUAAUUUGGAAAUGAAUCAAUCCAAGUUAUCUCAGAAACUAAGUCUAAGGCAAAUUUUGCCAACUGAUGCGACACAGAAUUCCCUUCCCUCUUAAUAAAAGAGAAAAGACAGGAACUAAAACCUUUACUAAGUACCUCUAUGUCAAAGAGGACAGCUCCUGCUAAAUGAUCAUUCAGGUUCCCCUCCCUGAUCUGAUCAAUAAUUCCCUUGCAAUCAGAUUGGACGAUAAUGUUCAUCCAGCCAUUCCUCUUGGCAAAAAUCAGAGCUUUCCGGAUUGCCAUAGCCUCUUCAACAGCAGGAAUUCCCUUCCUAUCUUCACUACCAGCCCAAGCACCUCUUAACUUUCCUUUACUGCAUCUAGCC